AGCAACUGGGCAUGCCCCAGAGGACUCAGAGGGCAGGAAAGAUGAUGCAGGAGGGAAUCUAACCUGUGUCGUUCUGGAUCAGCAGGUGGGUAGAGAGGUGGCAGGACAAUGGAGGUCCAUUGGGGAUAGCAUGGGGCUCCAGGUAUGGAAGCUGGGCUUCCCCAGAGGCCUCAGUGGACAGGAAAGACAAGACAGUAAAAUUAACCUGAAAGACAGUUUCAUGCUGUUCAACGUUUUCUUUCUUAAAGCAUUCCCAUAUAGCUAAGAAAAGAUUUGAAAAACUUAAGAUGUGAAAAUAUAUGCAUGCCCCCUCCCUGAGUCUCUGUGUAUGUGUAUAUAGAUACAUAUGUAAUGGUCAUGUGAUCCAUGCGCUUGACGUUGUGCAUAUGUCUGUGGUUUUUUUGUACAUGUGUUUUUGUUUGUAAAAAGGUGUAUCACUUUGAAGCUGGACACUCUGAAUCCUUCCGUAAAUUGAGUGUGUGGAUUUAGCAAAAGGAACCUUUGAAUCAAAGUUUCUGUUGGAAAUGUAGAAACAUUGCUAUAAUUUCUUUAUGGUUAUUGCUUUGUAGGAAACUAAGAAUAGUCUGAUUUUUUAAAACUCUGAACUGAUUUGCUUUACUAGUAUCAAUGUCGACAUAAUUUCUCUUUAGACUUGGUACUCAGUGACUUGAUUAAUGCUUCAAGAUGAUUAUUCUGUGUACUGGCUAGUUUUGUGUCAACUUGACACAAGCUGGAGUUAUCACAGAGAAAGGAGCUUCAGUUAGGGAAAUGCCUUCACGAGAUCCAGGUGUAAGGCAUUUUUUCAAUUAGUGAUCAAGUGGGGAGGUCCCCUUGUGGGUGGUGCCAUCUCUGGGCUGGUAGUCUUGGUUCUAUAAGAGAGCAGGCUGAGCAAGCCAGAGAAAGCAAGCCAGUAAGGAACAUCCCUCCAUGGCUUCUGCAUCAGCUCCUGCUUCCUGACAUGCUAGAGUUCCAGUUCUGACUUCCAUGGUGAUGAACAGCAGUAUGGAAGUGUAAGCUGAAUAAACCCUUUCCUCCUCAACUGCUUCUUGGUCAUGAUGUUUGUGCAAGAAUAGAAACCCUGACUAAGACAAAUUGGUACCAGCAUAGUGGGGUAUUCUUGUGACAACCUGACCAUGUUUUGGGGAGGACUGUGGAAGGACUUUGGAACUUUGGGCCAGAAGAUCCAUUCAGUGUUAAGAGCUCUGUAGAAUGUUGUAUAGGAGCUUGGAAGAUAAUGUUGAGAACAGUGCAGAAGAUGGAGGCCUGGCUUGUGAAAUUUCAGAGGGAAGAUUAAAGACUCUUUUCAGGGCCAAUGCUAUUUGGAUUGUAAAGAUUCUGUAGUUCUGGUUAGCUGGUGCUGAAGAAUCAGCUGUGAUUAAUAAGAUACCAGAACUACUAAAGUAAAACCUUUGCAUUACUGGGACUUUUGAUGCUGGUUAGCUGGAGCUAAGAAAUUAGUGGUGAUUAAGAAGAGACCAGCAUCAUUGAGAUGAUAUCUUCUGGGAAGUGUUUUCUGAGAGCACAGAGGCUGUGUUCCAGAGAUAACCAAGGUUGUACCUUGUGCUACUUGGUGGGACUUGGUUAUGUGUAAGAGUCACCCAGGUGGUACUGGUUUUGAAGGCAUGAAGGGGUCACACAGAACAGCUGAGGCUCGGCACUGUGAGAGGCCAUGGAAGGCCAUUGGUGAAGGUGCAGCCUCAGUUGCAAUUGAUGGCCCAGGAUUAAAGGGGUCAUGCAAAGGAGUUGAGGCUUGGUACCAUGAAGAGAGCCUAUGAGAGGCUAUUGUUGAAGCCAAGUUACAGUGAAAGAUAGCAGCGUUUUGGAGAUGCCAGUACCACGAGAUGACCACCAAGAACAGCAGCAGCAGUGGAGUACAGGCAGCUGGAUCCUAGAAGACAAACUGUGUGCUACAAAGGACAGUGCUGGAGAAGUGACCCAAGCCCUUGGAGGAGCCCAGAAGAUGGUUUCUCUAUGGAUGAAUAAUGUCUCCAGUGUACGUGUAUCAUAUUUUCUUUGCCCAUCCGUUUGUUGAUGGAAAACUGAUUCCACUUCGUAUCUGUUGUGAAUAGUAUAUAUCAAUGCCAUGAAUACAGAGUCUCCUGACCUCUUUAGAGACUGGAAGAAAGAUGAUGCCCUCUAGUGCUGUGGACAGUUCAGCCUGCAAGCCGUGAUUCAUCAUUACGUUCUUCGUCGGCCCCUGAGAGGCUCCUUCAUCAUCAUCCAUCUUUUUCUAGAAGAGAUCUUUAAAUCCCACUUUGUUUAAGAAGAAUAAUGUUGCUGCCUUUUGUGGGAAUGGGGUAAGAAUUUUUUAAAGCAUAUUUUUUUCAAGGAAAGGAGAUUUUAAACACAGAUGUGUUAUUUGUGAAAUUCCCAGGGUUUCACAGUCACCCAGCUUCUUCAGAUCAUUUCUUGUGCGUGCUACAGAGGAUGGUUACUGCUGCUACUGAUUUCUCUUUGCUUCUCUCUGAGAACCCUAGAUUUCUACGCUUGAACUUAAGUGUUCUCUGAACACUGCCUCUACCCAUCGCUUUAGAAUAAGAAGACAAGACUAUGAACAGUCAUGGGAUUUUAUUGCCUUGACAUUAGUUCACCAAUGAGCAGGUAUCUUAAGUAAUAUAACGGCACUCAAUCUGUAGCAAUGUGAGGACUAUUGUCUUUUUCUUUUCCUUGUAGGAAGAGGAAGGAAAAGCCAAUUGCCUUUAGGGCUCCUGGUAGACAUCUUUUUCAAGCCCCAGCUGUGCAGGGCAUAGAGGCAGAGAAGCAUGAGGGCGACUGAGCAGUGGGACAAGAAGUGGAGAGAAGACAGUGCCAUCAGUCAAGCUUUACCACAGGAUCCCGCUUUCCUGGAUCAGCUUUUAGGGAUAUGAACCAAUACAUUCUCCUUUGACAUAAUUUAACAUGAGUUCAGUUAUAUUGUGUCUCAUCUAAAAUGUGCUGCCUAAUAUAUAUCUGGACUCCAAAAGGAAGAUGAUAUUCUGGGAUUAUAAAAUCUAUUGCAGGCUGCACUUGAUGCCAUGUAUACUUUCAAUGGAGGAGGAUACUUUGAAAGGAGGGGUGAAUAUAACUCAGAGAGGAGAAGCUUCACCCCUUUUCUGUUGCUGGUAGAACCAUGGGUAGGGAGGAUCUUAACAGACGAUUCCUGAGCUGCAGAAACUUUGCAUGGGUACAGAACACACAGCUGUACAACUUGGUUUUUACUGCAAAGACCAAUUUGAAGCUGAGGCAAAUCUGCAUUAGUUUGGCUUCCACACACAGAACCAUUUGUAUUAUAGUUAAUUUAAUAGACAUUUAAGGAGCACAUAGUGUGUGCCAAAUGUUUGACAUAAAGAAAACAACAACAACAACAAUAUCCUUAUACUAAAAAUUUCAGAAAAAAGAAGGGAAAAGUACUGAUGAGAGAUCCAUCUAAAGAGGAUGGAAAGGCAUCCUUACACAUGAUGCCAACAGUACAGUAAGUUGUACCUAUAGUUUAUAAAAGUGGGUCCUAAAUGUUUAUCCUUGGUUACCCCCCACACACAUGAAAAAUAGG
RNAcentral lists this long non-coding RNA (3529 nucleotides) under Mus musculus (house mouse). Its description in RNAcentral is "predicted gene, 31706". Lineage: Eukaryota; Metazoa; Chordata; Mammalia; Rodentia; Muridae. The record is from RNAcentral.